GAUGAACGUUAGCGGCAGGCUUAAUACAUGCAAGUCGUGGGGCAGCAUGAGUAGCAAUACUUGAUGGCGACCGGCAAACGGGUGCGGAACACGUACACAACCUUCCGAUAAGUGGGGAAUAGCCCAGAGAAAUUUGGAUUAAUACCCCGUAACAUAUAGAGUAGGCAUCUUCUUUAUAUUAUAGCUUCGGCGCUUAUUGAUGGGUGUGCGUCUGAUUAGGUAGUUGGCGGGGUAACGGCCCACCAAGCCUACGAUCAGUAGCUGAUGUGCGAGCAUGAUCAGCCACACGGGCACUGAGACACGGGCCCGACUCCUACGGGAGGCAGCAGUAAGGAAUAUUGGACAAUGGGCGAAAGCCUGAUCCAGCCAUGCCGCGUGAAGGAUUAAGGUCCUCUGGAUUGUAAACUUCUUUUAUUUGGGACGAAAAAAGGGAAUUCUUUCCCACUUGACGGUACCAAGUGAAUAAGCACCGGCUAACUCCGUGCCAGCAGCAGCCGCGG
Molecule: ribosomal RNA, 500 nt
Filed under: uncultured bacterium
Lineage: Bacteria
Description: partial 16S ribosomal RNA
Rfam family: Bacterial small subunit ribosomal RNA
Source: RNAcentral